Molecule: ribosomal RNA, 301 nt
Filed under: uncultured bacterium
Lineage: Bacteria
Description: partial 16S ribosomal RNA
Rfam family: Bacterial small subunit ribosomal RNA
Source: RNAcentral
CAGCCGCCGCGGGAAUACGAAGGGUGCAAGCGUUAAUCGGAAUUACUGGGCGUAAAGCGUGCGUAGGCGGUUUGUUAAGUCUGCUGUGAAAUCCCCGGGCUCAACCUGGGAAUGGCAGUGGAUACUGGCAAGCUAGAGUGUGUCAGAGGAUGGUGGAAUUCCCGGUGUAGCGGUGAAAUGCGUAGAGAUCGGGAGGAACAUCAGUGGCGAAGGCGGCCAUCUGGGACAACACUGACGCUGAGGCACGAAAGCGUGGGGAGCAAACAGGAUUAGAUACCCGCGUAGUCCCUGUCUCUUAUAA